CAACUUAGUUGCGAUUUAUAAAAGGGUCUGCGUCCGCAGACUUCGACAGUAAAAGCCUGUACUUGCAAGGUAUUGUGGGAUAGCUUGAAGAAGUGCAACUGGAUCCAGCAGUCAGAGUUCAAGGCAAGGAAAGAUUACAGACUCAAGCAUGGCAAGGCACAGCAGCAGAGGAAUCUCACCAGUCCCAUUAGAGUGUAAAGUGUAUGUAGGGAACUUGCCAUCAGGAGCCAGUCGCACAGAGCUAGAAGAGGCAUUCAGUCGAUAUGGGCGUGUCAAGAAUGUCUGGGUCGCUAGGAACCCACCUGGUUUCGCUUUUGUUAUGUUUGAAGAUGAACGUGACGCAUCUGAUGCUUGCAAAGCUCUAGAUGACAGAAAUGUCUGUGGAGUUCGAGUUCGAGUGGAGAUGUCCUCUGGCGAAUCGAGGAGGUCUCGUGAUCGUGGUGACCGUGGAGGAGAUCGUGGUCAUCGGGGCGGUGGAGGUUUCAUGGGUGGACGUCGUGGUGGAAUGAGGGAUAAUGAACGAUGCUACGAGUGUGGUCAGAGAGGUCACUUUGCCAGGGACUGUGACAGGAGAGGAAGAUCGCCAGGUGGCUACAGGAGCACCAAGCGUUACUCAAGGGCUCUCCUAGUACGAUCCUCUUGACAACCCACAAUGCUUCUACCAUGAUAACCCUUCAUGUUCAAAGCAACAAUGUCGCACCAUGCCUGCGCUCUCCUUACAUCCAUCACCUCUCUCUCUCCGAUGAGUACAGCAUGGGUGUAAGCAGUCACACAAGUAGGGCCCAGCUCUAUCACUUCUGUGUGCCCGCCCCACCCAUCACGAGCUUCGUCUCUUCCCUAAACCUGCACACACCGGGGCUGCAAAUUCUAGUUAUCAAAAGUUAAAGGCUGCCAAAUAGCUGGUUAAGGGUAGAAAUCAUCCAACAAAGGCCUGUUAUGGACAUGGUUGGGGUCAGCUGGCAGCCUGGCAUCGUACAUCGGUCAAAGCCAGAUCUGCCCUUGGUUUGAAGCCCACCAUUGUCAGCCAAGCUUGGUGAAUCCCAUCACUAGCAUCAUAUGGACAUCUUUUUGAUGAUCAACUAAAUGGUCAGUAAGGUAAAAGAAAGCAACAUGGCUGUUGGGCACCGGAUCAUCAGCCUCUGGUUGCUUCCCUCCCUGAGGCUGCAAGGGUAGUAAAACCAGUCCCCCACAGCGCGCCAGCAAUCUGUUUUUGUCUUCCUGCACAUCUGUAAAUGAUGGUUCUUCUUUUUCCUCAUGUCAACAUUUACAUCAAUGUCAUCUUUCCUUUGCAGCUAUUUUCAAUACAGAUCCUUGUCUAGGUCUCGGUCUCGCAGCCCCCGUCGACGUGUUUCUAGAAGCCCACCUAGGUACAGGAGUCACAGCCGUAGCCGCAGCAGGAGUCGUUCAAGGUCAUAAGGAGUCUGAAGACUUGCUAGGAGAUACACUCAAGCAAAAACCUGGUAUUACAUUAUAUAGUAAAUCCCAAGUGUGGGAAAUUUGUAUCUGUAAAUAGCUUUUAAGUUUGUCUGCUUCAUGUAUAUUUUAAUACAAUGCAAGUAAAGCUUACAAAAAUGAUACAGCCCAAAGCUGUUACAGUUUACAUGUAUAACUUCUUUGGUUGCUGCUUUAGAAAAUACAAAAUCACAUGUAUUAUUCUGCAUGAUUGUUCAAUAAAAUUUGUUUGAUGAAAUACAGAUUUGAAAUCUCCUAACCAUAUGUAGAUCAUGGUAAUCCGGCAAAGUUAUGUGAUAUCCUAAGACGAAUGGUUGAAGACUGAAUUGUUUAUUGUACUUAGUUAUUUCCUUGAUCACUAUUUGCAGUAUCCUAUUUGUUAUGAUAUUAGACAAUUUCUAUGCAUGAGAAGGCACAUAUGACACCCAUUUGUUCUUUAUCAUAAGUAUUACCCUAUCUGUUGCAAACCAUUUGAGGAAAGUGAAGAUGCAGAAUUACAUCCUGUAUUCUAUGAUCCAUGUUGAUGGCUUAUUGGAGUGUUGAUCAUUUUUUGUACUACAUGUUGUAUUUUGAAGAUUCCCAACAAUAUUACAUUCACACCUUGUAGAUUAAUAGGUGUAAUGGAAACCAUCUCACAUUCUAGAGAAACAUUUUCAUUAUAUUUUCGUUUUAUCAUUCCCAUGUCACUUUUUGUCAGUAUCUCUCAUGAUGGAGAAGUAUAGUAGUCAAACUAAUAUUUUUCGUAACAGGAAGGAAACACCUGCCCAGUUUUUAAAUUCUGUUAUCUGACAUUGAGCACACAUGGAUCAUAUGAUGGAUGAACUUGAGUUUAUUUACUGUAAAUAAAAACACUCACUGGGCAUGCAAGGGGUGGGGUGGUAUAGAAUUUAGCCUUCAUCAUUUAUUCACUGGAGAUCUGUUCACAGUUAUUGAUAAAAUGCAUGUAUAUAAAUUGAGAUAUCACAGGUCAUUAUGUAUAGCAUUUUUAUCUCCAGGAAGGACGUGUUAAUCGUCGUCUUUUUUGUCGAGCAGAUUAUUCAUUUUUUUCUGUAAGGCUUAUUUUAUGUUGUGUAGACUGAUAUUUAUGAAUCAUUUAUCCUGCUCACUUUUUAUAAUUUUUGUACUAAGUUUACACUGUACAUGUAUUAUAAAAUUCAACACAUAACAGCACUUGUGUGCAGCUUAUAUUUUUGAAAUGAGGGAUUUAGAACAUAUGUGUAGUAGCAUAUCCACCGAGAUACUGCGUACUAGUAAAUAUUUAUGCAGAUGAUGUGGAGGGUAAAAAAUGGAAAAGUUCAAUUCAGCGUAUGCAUUCACUGGCUGCAAGAAACAGGAUAAGUAUGGGUAAGGGCUACACAGUUGGAUAUUCCUUUGCAGACAUAUACUCCUAACAUUUCCAUCACAAUUCACCCUAAAAAGUUAGUGUGGAGACCUAGCAAAAUAAUAUUUUCUACUGAAUAGUGACUACCGUAAUUUAUUCAAAGAAAGAAAUCUCUUCUUUAACAGAUAAUUCUCCCAUUCGAGAUCAUUUGGGCAAAUUAGACUCAGACUAUUUCCCACUUCAAGGUUUAUCAGAGACUCAGAGACGCUGUGUAUGAACCAUGAAAUGCUCUUAUGCUUAAUGAUAAAUCAGCCGAUCCGUAGUUUCAUUGUGAAAGCACAGAAUGGUGUUGCAAAUGGUCCUGAACAAUGUUGUCAAUGUCGCACUAAUGUUAUGAUCAGUCACAUAUAGUGUUUUUUUUGCCCUUCAUAGUGUAAAUUCUUUUUAGUCAAAUUGUAUUUACAUGCAUCUGAAACCAUGUCAUUCCUUUACUAUUCAUAUUAUAAUUGUACACACUUGUGCUGUCUGACUGGUCUGAUAUUUUGAUGAUUUAAGUAUUAAAUUGUUUGUUUCCUA
Molecule: RNA transcript, 3349 nt
Organism: Strongylocentrotus purpuratus (purple sea urchin)
Lineage: Eukaryota; Metazoa; Echinodermata; Echinoidea; Camarodonta; Strongylocentrotidae
Gene name: probable splicing factor, arginine/serine-rich 6
Exons: 6
Source: RefSeq, a predicted model, not a curated record